This is a long non-coding RNA of Candoia aspera, 1916 nucleotides long. RefSeq lists it as uncharacterized. The transcript has 4 exons. Lineage: Eukaryota; Metazoa; Chordata; Lepidosauria; Squamata; Candoiidae. The record is from RefSeq and is a predicted model, not a curated record.
AUGAUUAAUAAAGCAAAGAGAAUCAAAUGUUCAAAGAGGAUCCAAUUUUUACUGCUCCAGCUUCAGAGAAGGCACCAUGAGUACUAAAAUGCUUCAUGUUGUGACAUGUAUUGUUUUGCUGACAGUGGCUUGGGGGCUACCAUUUUCCUCUCAAGAAGAAGCCAAUGAAUUUUUAGGACUUAAGAGGCUGCCCUACCCAGCCAAUUGGCAUCCAGACACAGUGUCUGAACAGAUGAGUGAAUACUGGGCAGCAUUGAAGAAAUCAGCACAGUAUUACAUGGACAGGAUCUUUUAAUUGUACUGACAUGGCCAGGGACUACAUUAGCUCUUACAUGGUUAUGUUACAGCAAUAUGGAGGCCAUUAGACUUGAUCCGUGACUCCCAAAUGUAUAUAUCUACUCCCUCCAUGGUGUUGAUCAACUUGAUUCUUCCUGGAAUAUCUGCGACAGAGACAAGCACAAGGAUACAACAUAAAUGUCUUUAUCCUGUCCUGGAAUUGAUGAGGGCACAUCCUGUGAGGAAAAUGUCCAGGCCUUCAGGCCGCAGUCCUAUACUAAAGAAAUUACUUUUAAGUUGUCACACAUAGGAUUACAUAUUCCAGGUCUUGCAUGGGAAAUCUACCCAUUGUUACAAGUGAAUCAAAACCAGCUAUGUAUCUUUUGAAUGUGAGGAAUGUCCUUGUGAAUAUAAUAUUGAUUUUGGAAUCUUGUUCUUGAACUGGAUUAUUCUUAGGGAUUUCUCACAAAUUAUAAUUCAACUUGAAGGUUGUCUAUAUGCUAUGCAGAAGCAAUAUGAGAGUGUCAUGUUUUAAAAGCACUGCUGCUUGCUUCUGCAUUGUUUAAUCCCAAAGAGAUUGAAGGAUGUAUUCAACAACUUCUUUACCUGUAAAUUUAUUUAUAGUUCCUUCACUUUUCUGAAUUUCAUAAAGAUCCAGUAACUUAUAUAUUACAUUGCCUGAGCAGAUGCCUGUAAUCCAAAGCAAGAAGGCAAUUGUGUAUUCAAAGCACAUUCAUUCAUCACCAUUCAGUCUUGACCUUAUCUGUUCUUGGUUUACCAUAUAACUUUCUUAAGUACCCCAUUCCAACUUCAUUCACCUUACUUUUAUGCUUCUCCUGACAGACCCAAUUUUCAUUUCCAUAUAACAAAGUGAACAAAAAUAUACUCUUACAGACAGCCAUUUUUGCUUCUUUCAACAACCAUUAAUUCCUUGCUACAGGCCAGAUAUUACUUAACAUUGUAGGAGAGGAGCUGUAUUAGACCAUGGUGGCAAAAAAAAAACAGGAUUCUGGUAGCACAGUUUAUGACUAGUACAUUUUUAAAGACAUAAACCUCUGUGAGUUGCAGCCUACAAAAUCUUAUGUCUUUAAAAAAAUAUAUGUCAGUCAGAAAAUGUGCUACUGUACUCUUGUGCCCCCCCUUUUCUACCAGCAUUCACUUGUCUCAAUAUUUCUUCAUCUAUUUUCCCAUCUUUAGUGAACAUUCUGCCAAGGUACAUAAAUUUAUCUACUUUUUCUAGUUUUCACCAUGUAUGUUUAAAUUGUUCACAUGUAUUUCCUCUGCCUUGGUCUUUGAUAAAUUAAUGUUUAGACCCUUGUUUAUUUAUGUAUUAGAUUUAUAUCCUGUCUUUGUUUUGUACGACUCAAGGUGGUGUACAUAAUGCUCCUGCCUUCUGUUUCUCCACAACAACACAUUGUCAGGUGGAUUGGGCUGAGAAAGAGUGACUGGCCCAGCCAGUAACCGAGCUGGCUGCAUUUUAUUCACAAUUGCUGCUAUUCACUUGGGCUCUCAGUGAACAACUUGGCAUCAUUUGCAUACAAAGUACAUGUACAUUCAUGUUCUCAAUCAACCAAACUCUAACAUCUCCAAAAUCAUUCUUGUACAUUUGUAAGUUUCUUAAAUAGUCAAGGAGAUAUCAC